Molecule: transfer RNA, 86 nt
Rfam family: tRNA
About the family: Transfer RNA (tRNA) molecules are approximately 80 nucleotides in length. Their secondary structure includes four short double-helical elements and three loops (D, anti-codon, and T loops). Further hydrogen bonds mediate the characteristic L-shaped molecular structure. tRNAs have two regions of fundamental functional importance: the anti-codon, which is responsible for specific mRNA codon recognition, and the 3' end, to which the tRNAs corresponding amino acid is attached (by aminoacyl-tRNA synthetases). tRNAs cope with the degeneracy of the genetic code in two manners: having more than one tRNA (with a specific anti-codon) for a particular amino acid; and 'wobble' base-pairing, i.e. permitting non-standard base-pairing at the 3rd anti-codon position.
Source: Rfam
GCCGGGGUGGCAGAACCAGGUUAAUGCGCCGGCUUUGAGAGCCGGUGGCCCAGUGGGCCAUCUGGGUUCAAAUCCCAGCCCCGGCG